Long non-coding RNA from Gallus gallus (chicken), 1433 nucleotides. NCBI's taxonomy places the organism in Eukaryota, Metazoa, Chordata, Aves, Galliformes, Phasianidae. The record is from Ensembl.
CUCUUCUCUGGGGGAUUUUUAUGGUGAACCUAGAUCCUUGAAGAUGGGAGCUUGAUCCAAGGCCUGCAGGAGCUGGUGGAAAUCUCCCAGCCGAUGUGAUGUUGCACUAAGCUAGGGAGGAAUGCCCCACUCCUUCACUCUUUCCUGAAGUCAAGAUGCCUGCUUUAAAACUUCAGGAUGCUCCAUUCCCAUAAUUGCGCAGCCACAGCAGAGAUUGGGAAACACCACCAUGCUCCAGGCACAGUAUGUUUCAAACUGGACUUGAAGGCAUUGAUGUUCUGCUGAGUUCCUUCGUCAUGUAACAAGGACUGGGUACUGCCAAAGUUAUGGACUCUCUUUCCAGUGGGAGCUGAUCAGACUUGAAAUGAGUUACAGAGCUUUGCUGUCUCUCUUAGAAGACAGAAGACUGUAGGAAAUAGUCCAAGUGAACAGGAAUAUGACUGGCAGUUGCUGCAGCUCUGCAUGAGCCUGGGAAGGGAUGGUUAUCCCGACUUCAGAAUGAAUUACAAAGAAGCACGUGGCUGGAAGAAAAUGUGAUCAGAGCCAACGUGCUAUUUUGGAGCAUGCCUAAGGUGCUGUGCUGUUCCUUGUGGGGUAGUAAUGAGCGGCCCAGCGGUGGGAUAAGUAACUACAUCUCUGAGUCACUGCUUUGAGGCCCAUGCAACAUGUCUGGCAAAAUUUCUGCACACUCUCUUCCCAGCAUUCCUGAAGAAUGAUUCCUUUUCAUAAAGUUCAGUUGGAACAUACGUCUUCUAAAGUGCAUGUGCUCGGAUCUCAAUAUUACGGGCUGUGCAGAUAAACUGAUUCAGCUGAAGCUCACUUGACACCCUGAGUGCUCUAGGCAGUGAGGCACUGUUGCAGUGGACUGGAAAUCUCAGCAAAGGGAGAAGCUGUGCUCUUCCAGCUCUAUGUGCACAGAAGUCCCUGGUGUUUCUCUGAGGCUCCUCCACAAACCCUUCCGUUACAGACAACCGUGUGAUUACAAGAGUUGAGAAGAAAAUGUAAUCAGACACUUGAACUCAGAGUCUGAUCCACUCAAGAGACUUUAUCUACAGUUCUGAGAAGAGUAAGAACAAGUUAAGAAGAUUAAGAGAAUGAAAACAAAGACCCAAGAACACUGUCUUGAUCAAGAUUUAGAUAACGCUGUUGGAAAUGCAAGUGAGACUAUCCAAUGAGUUAUGUAUUCUUUUCAUACAACCGUGUCUCCACUGUUCUGCGAAGAGUCAGUGGAAGAACUGCAGGUUCUUUCUGACCUUUCAGGAACUUCGCUUCAUUUAAAGAAACUUGGUUUUUGGUUUAUCUGUUUACUUUUCAUCUUCCAUAUGAUUAUGUGGAACAGAGACGCAGACAUCUGCAGUGAUGAAUGCUCUGUCAAAUACAAAUGUUACAAUCCAUCCUGCCUUUGAUGAGUAAAAUAAAUGUUUGGGUUAUUU